Molecule: unclassified non-coding RNA, 329 nt
Filed under: soil metagenome
Description: partial contains 5.8S ribosomal RNA, internal transcribed spacer 2, and large subunit ribosomal RNA
Rfam family: 5.8S ribosomal RNA (bases 1-120)
Source: RNAcentral
GAUGAAGAACGUAGCGAAAUGCGAUAAGUAAUGUGAAUUGCAGAAUUCAGUGAAUCAUCGAAUCUUUGAACGCACAUUGCGCCCCUUGGUAUUCCGAGGGGCAUGCCUGUUCGAGCGUCAUUAUAACCCCUCAAGCUCAGGUUGGUGUUGGGGCCUGCUGCACUGGCAGCCCUUAAAAUCAGUGGCGGCGCCAUCUGGCUCUAAGCGUAGUAAUUCUUCUCGCUAUGGAGUCCUGGUGGAUGCUUGCCAUCAACCCCCAAUUUUUCUAUGGUUGACCUCGGAUCAGGUAGGGAUACCCGCUGAACUUAAGCAUAUCAAUAAGCGGAGGA